This is a non-coding RNA of Myotis lucifugus (little brown bat), 72 nucleotides long. Lineage: Eukaryota; Metazoa; Chordata; Mammalia; Chiroptera; Vespertilionidae. The record is from Rfam.
GCCUGUAUGGCUCAGUGGUUGAGCAUUGACCCAUGAACCAAAAGUUCCCUGGUUCUAUUCCAGGUCAGGGCA